ACUGGGUGGAUGAGUGGCGAACGGGUGAGUAACACGUGAGUAACCUGCCCUUGACUUCGGGAUAAGCCCGGGAAACUGGGUCUAAUACUGGAUAUGACUCCUUACCGCAUGGUGGGGGGUGGAAAGAUUUAUCGGUUGGGGAUGGACUCGCGGCCUAUCAGUUUGUUGGUGGGGUAAUGGCCUACCAAGACGACGACGGGUAGCCGGCCUGAGAGGGUGACCGGCCACACUGGGACUGAGACACGGCCCAG
This 251-nucleotide ribosomal RNA is filed under the name uncultured bacterium. Its description in RNAcentral is "partial 16S ribosomal RNA". It matches the Rfam family "Bacterial small subunit ribosomal RNA", at positions 82 to 334 of the family's 1533-position model. The record is from RNAcentral.